This 292-nucleotide ribosomal RNA is filed under the name uncultured bacterium. Its description in RNAcentral is "partial 16S ribosomal RNA". It matches the Rfam family "Bacterial small subunit ribosomal RNA", at positions 505 to 796 of the family's 1533-position model. The record is from RNAcentral.
GUGUCAGCAGCCGCGGUAAUACAGAGGGGGCAAGCGUUGUUCGGAAUUACUGGGCGUAAAGGGCGCGUAGGCGGCGUGCUAAGUCGAACGUGAAAUCCCCGGGCUCAACCCGGGAACUGCGUCCGAGACUGGCAUGCUUGAAUCCGGGAGAGGGAUGCGGAAUUCCAGGUGUAGCGGUGAAAUGCGUAGAUAUCUGGAGGAACAUCGGUGGCGAAGGCGGCAUCCUGGACCGGUAUUGACGCUGAGGCGCGAAAGCCAGGGGAGCAAACGGGAUUAGAAACCCUGGUAGUCC